This 87-nucleotide unclassified non-coding RNA is filed under the name Pseudomonas gessardii. Lineage: Bacteria; Pseudomonadati; Pseudomonadota; Gammaproteobacteria; Pseudomonadales; Pseudomonadaceae. The record is from RNAcentral.
UGUGGGAGCUGGCUUGCCUGCGAUGCAGGCACUGCGGUGUAUCAGGGGGACCGAGGCGAUGCCAUCGCAGGCAAGCCAGCUCCCACA